GAUGAACGCUGGCGGCGUGCCUAAUACAUGCAAGUCGAGCGAACGGACGAGAAGCUUGCUUCUCUGAUGUUAGCGGCGGACGGGUGAGUAACACGUGGAUAACCUACCUAUAAGACUGGGAUAACUUCGGGAAACCGGAGCUAAUACCGGAUAAUAUUUUGAACCGCAUGGUUCAAAAGUGAAAGACGGUCUUGCUGUCACUUAUAGAUGGAUCCGCGCUGCAUUAGCUAGUUGGUAAGGUAACGGCUUACCAAGGCAACGAUGCAUAGCCGACCUGAGAGGGUGAUCGGCCACACUGGAACUGAGACACGGUCCAGACUCCUACGGGAGGCAGCAGUAGGGAAUCUUCCGCAAUGGGCGAAAGCCUGACGGAGCAACGCCGCGUGAGUGAUGAAGGUCUUCGGAUCGUAAAACUCUGUUUUUAGGGAAGAACAUAUGUGUAAGUAACUGUGCACAUCUUGACGGUACCUCAUCAGAAAGCCCCGGCUAACUACGUGCCCGCAGCCGCGGUAAUACGUAGGUGGCAAGCGUUCUCCGGAAUUAUUGGGCGUAAAGCGCGCGUAGCGGUUUUUUAAGUCUGAUGUGAAAGCCCACGGCUCAACCGUGGAGGGUCAUUGGAAACUGGAAAACUUGAGUGCAGAAGAGGAAAGUGGAAUUCCAUGUGUAGCGGUGAAAUGCGCAGAGAUAUGGAGGAACACCAGUGGCGAAGGCGACUUUCUGGUCUGUAACUGACGCUGAUGUGCGAAAGCGUGGGGAUCAAACAGGAUUAGAUACCCUGGUAGCCCACGCCAUAAACGAUGAGUGCUAAGUGUUAGGGGGUUUCCGCCCCUUAGUGCUGCAGCUAACGCAUUAAGCACUCCGCCUGGGGAGUACGACCGCAAGGUUGAAACUCAAAGGAAUUGACGGGGACCCGCACAAGCGGUGGAGCAUGUGGUUUAAUUCGAAGCAACGCGAAGAACCUUACCAAAUCUUGACAUCCUUUGACAACUCUAGAGAUAGAGCCUUCCCCUUCGGGGGACAAAGUGACAGGUGGUGCAUGGUUGUCGUCAGCUCGUGUCGUGAGAUGUUGGGUUAAGUCCCGCAACGAGCGCAACCCUUAAGCUUAGUUGCCAUCAUUAAGUUGGGCACUCUAAGUUGACUGCCGGUGACAAACCGGAGGAAGGUGGGGAUGACGUCAAAUCAUCAUGCCCCUUAUGAUUUGGGCUACACACGUACUACAAUGGACAAUACAAAGGGCAGCGAAACCGCGAGGUCAAGCAAAUCCCAUAAAGUUGUUCUCAGUUCGGAUUGUAGUCUGCAACUCGACUACAUGAAGCUGGAAUCGCUAGUAAUCGUAGAUCAGCAUGCUACGGUGAAUACGUUCCCGGGUCU
Molecule: ribosomal RNA, 1371 nt
Filed under: uncultured bacterium
Lineage: Bacteria
Description: bacterial SSU rRNA
Rfam family: Bacterial small subunit ribosomal RNA
Source: RNAcentral